GCGUCGGCCCGCCCUUGAAAAGCCGGGCAUCCCCCCCCAUAAUGGUAUGUAUGGUUGUAACUCCGGCAAUCUGGAGGCGUCUUGGACAGGGGUUCGAUUCCCCUCACCUCCACCUAAGGGCAUAUGAGUGCGUUUAGGUGGGGGUGCACUGGUUUCGACAGGGCGGACGAAGGUGAGCAGGCAACCCGAGAGGCGACGGACGUAAUCCGCGCAAAUCCAUAAACGCCAACGAUGAGCGUUUCGCACUGGCCGCUUAAGGCCGAUGCCGAGGCUGCUUGAGCCUUGUAACCAAAGAAAAGCCGGCGGGGACUUCGGUCCCCGUCGUCA
Molecule: transfer-messenger RNA, 327 nt
Filed under: Burkholderiaceae bacterium
Lineage: Bacteria; Pseudomonadati; Pseudomonadota; Betaproteobacteria; Burkholderiales; Burkholderiaceae
Rfam family: Betaproteobacteria transfer-messenger RNA
About the family: Bacterial tmRNA, also known as 10Sa RNA or SsrA, is named for its dual tRNA and mRNA-like properties.
Source: RNAcentral